CCUACGGGAGGCAGCAGUGAGGAAUAUUGGUCAAUGGGCGCGAGCCUGAACCAGCCAAGUCGCGUGAGGGAAGACGGUCCUAUGGAUUGUAAACCUCUUUUGUCGGGGAGCAAAAGACGCCACGCGUGGCGUUCCGAGAGUACCCGAAGAAAAAGCAUCGGCUAACUCCGUGCCAGCAGCCGCGGUAAUACGGAGGAUGCGAGCGUUAUCCGGAUUUAUUGGGAUUAAAGGGUGCGCAGGCGGAAGAUCAAGUCAGCGGUAAAAUUGAGGGGCUCAACCUCUUCGAGCCGUUGAAACGGGUUUUAUGGAGUGAGAGAGAGGGAUGCGGAAUGCGUGGGGUAGCGGUGAAAGGAAUAGAUA
RNAcentral lists this ribosomal RNA (360 nucleotides) under uncultured bacterium. Its description in RNAcentral is "partial 16S ribosomal RNA". It matches the Rfam family "Bacterial small subunit ribosomal RNA", at positions 338 to 696 of the family's 1533-position model. The record is from RNAcentral.